GUGAGUCAUCGAAUCUUUGAACGCAUAUUGCGCUCUCUGGUAUUCCGGAGAGCAUGCUUGUUUGAGUAUCAGUAAACACCCUCAGAACUUUCUUGAUUUUCGAAUCUUGGAGCUCUGGAUUUGAGUGAUCCCAACGUGUUCUUUCGCAGAACAUGGCGGGCCACUUGAAAUGCAGGUGCAGCUGGACUUUCUUCUGAGCUAAAAGCAUAUUUAUUUAGUCCUGUCAACACUUGUGUUGCGGAUUAUUACUUCUGCUGCAGCUUACAUAAAGGUUGAUUGUUCAAAUGCUGACUGAUGCAGGAUUUAUCAGGUAGCGUAAAGCGAUCUGUUAAACUCGAUCUCAAAUCAAGUAAGACUACCCGCUGAACUUAA
This 372-nucleotide ribosomal RNA is filed under the name Mortierella sp. OTU-3970. Its description in RNAcentral is "eukaryotic LSU rRNA". The stretch from base 1 to 71 matches the Rfam family "5.8S ribosomal RNA", at positions 84 to 154 of the family's 154-position model. The record is from RNAcentral. Lineage: Eukaryota; Fungi; Mortierellomycota; Mortierellomycetes; Mortierellales; Mortierellaceae.